GCUCAGCAAUAAAGCUACUUCUCUGCGUGCAACAAAAGAGGAAUUUGGAAUAGAAAUACAGAAAAUAGCUUUGCAACUGUUAAAAUAUCAAGCAUAGAUGAAAAUAACGUUCUUGCAAUUUAGUAUCAGUAACUAGGAUCAACUGAAUGUUAAUGAAGUUAAAAAUAAGGUAUCAAGAACCCCUUUAGUGACACAGAAGCCAUGCAAAUCACUAUAAACCAGAUGGCAAAACAGGCACCAGAUGCAAGCAACCUCUGACAAUUUUACCAUUGUCUCAUCCUAUCGCAUGCUUUACAUUCAAACUAGUGGUUUAUGCAGUUGUGAAACUGACUCUUUUAACAUAUCAACUUUACCAUGGAACUUUGACUCAUUAGUCAUUAUGUUGAUUUAUAUAAGUAAGCUCAAUUAGAAAGAUAGCAAAAGGAGGAAUCUGCUUUAUAUGCAACUAUAAGCUACCAUAGAAAGCAUGAGCUACCAUUUUAGAUGAAUUACAAACUUUAAGAAUGUAUUAUUAUUAUCAACAUCAAAAUGGAAAAAGAAGAUAAAAUAAUAUACAUAUACCCCAUCAACAAUUUCUUAACUUAAAGCUUCUAGAGCAUAUAACUCAUCAAUAAUGAUCACAGAAGAAAGUAAAUACCCUUGCCAAUUACCAAGCAUGCAGUAGAUAUUUGGCACAGUCCAAAAGAGGAUACCCAAUCAAAUUCAGAAAACUCAAGAACAGAUGAAAAGUCGAUACCAAUUUUAGUUGAGAAAAACUUAGAGAAUACGGGGAGGAGAAGCAGAGUGUGUGCACGCAUGUGACAACAUACUAACUCAUAUAUUAUAGCUACUAUAGAAUUAAGUAGAAUGAGUACAUAUACAUACGUACACACACACACACACACACA
RNAcentral lists this unclassified non-coding RNA (887 nucleotides) under Hevea brasiliensis (rubber tree). The record is from RNAcentral. Lineage: Eukaryota; Viridiplantae; Streptophyta; Magnoliopsida; Malpighiales; Euphorbiaceae.